UUUUCAUUUCUGCGAGCCGCUACGGUUCUCAGACUUGGCCCCGGUCUAACAACAAACAUAGGCACAAGACGACCUCCUAAUAUCAGAAACUCAUCAUUGCGAGUUAGCCAAGGGGUGUAGUUCUUCCAAGGGAUGAGGAUAUAGGACAGUUCUAAGGGAGGAGGAUAUAGGACGGUUCUAAGGAGGAGGAUAUAGGACGGUUCUAAGGAGGAGGAUAUAGGACGGUUCUAAGGGAGGAAGAUAUAGGACGGUUCUAAGGAGGAGGAAUAGGACGGUUCUAAGGGAGGAAGAUAUAGGACGGUUCUAAGGGAGGAGGAAUAGGACGGUUCUAAGGGAGGAAGAUAUAGGACGGUUCUAAGGGAGGAGGAUAUAGGACGGUUCUAAGGAGGAGGAUAUAGGCCGAAAGAUGCUGUUAGGACAGGAAGAUUCGCGAAUGAAAGCUCAAGGCACUGUCCCUAGUCUAUAGACGUGUGCGGGUAUGUUUAUGCUGCACUCUACAAACGACCUUCACGUGUUCCAAGGUCGAUCGGGGAAUACAGCAUGAGGCUUAAUGUUGGAAUAGGAUGUUGUUAUCAUCACAAACAAAGAUGGGAGCAAGAGUUGUGAGAUAAGGUUGAGGGAGAGAAGGGUGAAGGAAGCAACAGAAUGUAGGGGAAAGAUAAGAAUGAUAAGGGGGUGGGGUGGGGGUGUCAUAUGAAUGGUGAGAGAAAUGAAGGCAGAUAUAGGAUAAAUACGCAGAUGGACAUCAGUAUGUUUGGAAUAUAACAAAUGUGUAAAUAUGCCAUAUUAAUUUAAUUCAUCAUUGAUUAUGGCUGGCCGAUUUAUUCUUCCCGUAAUAUUCAUCAGGUGUUUUAAAAAGCAUUUCAGCAAAAAUCGAACUCUGAAACAAAUUGACAAAACGAAAAAGAAAUCAACAUAGCAUAGUGUUACAACAUAAACGCUAUCAAACGUCUUAUGGGGAAGUUGUACAGUUGUCACAGUGAUCUUAUUACGGGAUAUAUUUGUUAUGAAACUGGACGUGCUUAAUUUGCCUGUUGGUUCCGUGUUGUUGUCCUUUGAGAACAUGACAUUACUUACUUAGGUAGGACGUGUUUAAUGCUAGUUAGUUUGUCUGUUGGUUCUGUUGUUGUAUACCUUGUUCUUACUUGGGAACCUUAAAUUACUUACUUGGAUUGACCGAGGUUUAUACGGCAAGCGUCGUCGAUGAAGCAAAUAUUUCCUUUGUUUUUAUUUCGCUCUGGUUUUAUUGAAUUUCAGUUUGUAUUAUAAAUCGUUUGACAUGUUGGUAUUUUCCUGUUGUGUUCUUGUUUUAAGACGAGGGGGUUAAUCCCUAUUAUGCCAGGAUAUGUUACUGUUUUGUUUUUUUUUCGUGUGUGUGAUGUCUUCCACUAACUACAUAUACCAUCGAAAUCGCUUGUGAUCUGAAAUAUUCAUUGGCUUCCAAAAUUAAAGAUAUGACCGCCAUUUUCAAUUGAACUUCCGGCGCGUUCGAUUUAAUCAUUGACUAUAUAUGACUCUGGAAUUCGCAGGAUUUACACGAAUCUUAGAAUUUGCACAAUGAGGGAUGUACCGUCGGCGCUGAGGUUUUCUAUGUUUGGAACAUUCUUAUAAACAAUUCCGAGAACAUAAUACAAGCUCUCAUAGGAUAAUUGUGUAGUUCUUGUUUAUAUUAACGCUUUGAAACCUGCGAUGUAUAUUGCAUCACAUAAUUGUUACUUCGAGGAAAGAACAAACAAAAAGGUUUCCUCUGUAAUUACCGUGUACUCCAGAAAAAUCGCUAUACCACUUAGCGGAGGUCAGAAUCAAUUGGACUGGAAACGAAAAGAUUUCAGACAAACGCUUAACAUGUACAAACAACCCUAUGUAGCCUCACAGGCAUAUAACUAUAUAUUUGUAUCCGACUUUUUAUUUCGUUUGGAAGAGUUUUAAUAUUUUUUUCUUGUCGUAUAGGAAAAUUUCGUAUGGGAUUAUAUCUUUUUGGGCAUAUUUUAAACCACUCCUGCUGCACUGAUUUUUUAAAGCGAGAUACUUACUGGUCAUCUCAAGCGUACCAGACUUUGGAAUAUUCUUUAACAGACUUUCACCAUUUGAUGUUCCGAUAACAUUCAAGUCCAAACACAACAACCAACAUACACAGAAAGUGGUACGUUCCAGAUUCCAAAUUGGUAACCUUGGGAAUAUGGCGUGUCUAGUCCUAUUUAUAUCACAUGACUUCUGCUUUAACUCGCAACGUGCGAGUUCUAUGGUGUGCAACAGUUGCUUAUCCCACUGUAUUACUUCAAUCUAUUGCACGAUUCCAUUAAAGAAGGCAUUUAAUUUUA
Molecule: long non-coding RNA, 2321 nt
Organism: Ylistrum balloti
Lineage: Eukaryota; Metazoa; Mollusca; Bivalvia; Pectinida; Pectinidae
Exons: 3
Source: RefSeq, a predicted model, not a curated record